UGAGGAAUAUUGCGCAAUGGCCGAAAGGCUGACGCAGCGACGCCGCGUGAGGGAUGAAGUCCGUUAGGAUGUAAACCUCUUUUGCAGGGGAUGAAACCGCCGCUACAGGCGGCGGAUGACCGUACCCUGCGAAUAAGGAUCGGCUAACUACGUGCCAGCAGUCGCGGUAAUACGUAGGAUCCGAGCGUUGUCCGGAAUUACUGGGUGUAAAGGGCGUGUAGGUGGGUCUUUAAGUCGGUGGUGAAAUCUUGCGGCUCAACCGCAAAACUGCCGUCGAUACUGGGGACCUUGAGUGCGGAAGAGGGAAAUGGAAUUCAUGGUGUAGCGGUGAAAUGUGUAGAUAUCAUGAAGAACACCAGUUGCGAAGGCGGUUUCCUGGUCCGCUACUGACACUGAGGCGCGAAAGCGUGGGGAGCAAACAGGAUUAGAUACCCUGGUAGUCCACGCCCUAAACGAUGGGUACUAGGUGCUGGGCCGCAAGGUUCAGUGCCAAAGCUAACGCAUUAAGUACCCCACCUGGGGAGUACGAUCGCAAGGUUG
RNAcentral lists this ribosomal RNA (540 nucleotides) under uncultured bacterium. RNAcentral's name for it is "bacterial SSU rRNA". It matches the Rfam family "Bacterial small subunit ribosomal RNA", at positions 355 to 896 of the family's 1533-position model. The record is from RNAcentral.